This 29-nucleotide non-coding RNA is filed under the name Mus musculus (house mouse). The record is from RNAcentral. Lineage: Eukaryota; Metazoa; Chordata; Mammalia; Rodentia; Muridae.
UAACCACGUAGAACACAGGAUGUCAGCGC